This 456-nucleotide ribosomal RNA is filed under the name Triticum aestivum (bread wheat). RNAcentral's name for it is "partial small subunit ribosomal RNA". Lineage: Eukaryota; Viridiplantae; Streptophyta; Magnoliopsida; Poales; Poaceae. The record is from RNAcentral.
AUGACAACCCGUAUCUUCAGUGUCUCUGAAGCAUGUUGCUCUUCUGCUGGUGAUAUUUAUAGGAUGAAACCUCUUUCUGAUGAUGUCUCAAGAAGGCUCUUCUAUGAAAGAGUAUUUUCUUCCGAUAAAGGAUGUCCUCAUGAGUUGAUGGAAGUAUCUAAACACAUCUUGAAGAAAUGUGGUGGAAUACCAUUAGCCGUUAUUACCAUAGCAAGUCUUCUAGCUAAUAAUCAUCGGAUGAAACCAAAGGACCAAUGGGACACCGUGCUCAACUCCAUUGGUCGUGGACUCACAGAGGAUCGUAGUGUAAUUGAGAUGAAAAAGAUACUAUUGUUCAGUUAUUAUGAUCUACCUUCUUAUCUUAAGCCAUGUUUAUUAUAUCUAAGCAUCUUUCCAGAAGAUCACGAGAUUAUUAGAGGAAAGCUAAUAUUGAAAUGGAUAUCCGAAGGAUUUGUG